AAAAACUUUCAACAACGGAUCUCUUGGUUCCAGCAACGAUGAAGAACGCAGCGAAAUGCGAUACGUAAUGUGAAUUGCAGAAUUCAGUGAAUCAUCGAAUCUUUGAACGCAUAUU
RNAcentral lists this ribosomal RNA (115 nucleotides) under Hypotrachyna sp. Hur PH09028-2. RNAcentral's name for it is "5.8S ribosomal RNA". It matches the Rfam family "5.8S ribosomal RNA", at positions 1 to 112 of the family's 154-position model. Rfam says of the family: 5.8S ribosomal RNA (5.8S rRNA) is a component of the large subunit of the eukaryotic ribosome. It is transcribed by RNA polymerase I as part of the 45S precursor that also contains 18S and 28S rRNA. Lineage: Eukaryota; Fungi; Ascomycota; Lecanoromycetes; Lecanorales; Parmeliaceae. The record is from RNAcentral.